Molecule: long non-coding RNA, 4640 nt
Organism: Manis javanica (Malayan pangolin)
Lineage: Eukaryota; Metazoa; Chordata; Mammalia; Pholidota; Manidae
Source: RefSeq, a predicted model, not a curated record
AGGGCAGGGAGAAAAGGGAGACCAUAAGGCUGGGCACCAGGGCCUGCAGCCAGGGAAGACUGCCACGUCCAACCCCAGGGUGGGGAGGCAUCCCAGGAGCAAGGAGACAGUCACCCCACGGGAUCCCCACGCCUGGAGGGAGCAAACAGGCACUGUUCUUUAAACUUUUUUUAAAUUCAGGGGAUUAUUCAAAUUUGAGAGAUGUUUGAGCUUUGGCAUCUGACCAAAUCUAUGCUUUGGGUAGAAGAGAGGGGUCGAGAGGGCAAAGCCGGAGAGGGAGGGAGGCUAGGAAGCCAGUGGCUGACUGACUCACAGGGAGCACGUAAGUUAGAAAUAAGAUCUCCUCUCCAGAAGGCGAGCAGGGGCGGCCCGUGCAGCCUUCUCUGCUGCGGCCUGAUGCAGGGGGGGGGAGCACCCGAAGAACAGCCGGACCCGGCAGCCCGUUCACCCAGAGCUGCUCGGGCCCCGAACCUCAGCAAAGGCUGCCUGGGAGAACGCCGGGCUUCCAACUCUGUGCACUGCUUGCCACCACCAGCUUCGGUGGAUAUCACUAAGUUUCUGGUGUCACGUUGUGCAGGGUCACACCCAACCUCAGUCCUGAGGUGUGCCCACAGACCACCAAGAAACCAGGGCUGAGAAUGGCUGGUGUCACCUUCAGCCUGCUCAGGUGGUCCUGACUGCCAGGUACGCAGGGUGGACACCGCUGCCCCACAACACUCCCUGGGCACAGAUCCUCCCUGGCGGUCUGCCCAGUCGCCUCCGGUCACCUCCCUGCUAUUUUUAGAAUGGGGAUGGGCAGAAGUUGGGGGCGGCGAGGAUCUGUAGUAAUGAUACAUUUCAUUUCAUUCAUUUCCAACCCCAGAAGCUGAAGACCCAGAGGCAGGAACGAAGCCAUCAGGAAGCAAACACUGCAUGCAAUUCUGGGAACAGCAGGAUUAAAUGGAUGCCCAGGAGCAGGCUCAGUGCCCAGUGAGGUUUGCAGAAGACAACACAUGCUCACGAGGAACCCUCUCAGAGCAGCUGACGCUUAAGCCAAUGGCAGACCUGGGAUCUGACGCCCCCAGGGACUUCUGCCACAUCUUUUAAGAGCUGCCUUUGGCCGAAACCGUCCACCCACAAGAGAUGCUGUGGAUGGAGAUGCACAAACGGUGACGAGGCAUCGCCAGACAUGAAAUCAACUCCCUCCCUUCAAGGAACGUGAAGCUGUGGACACACAAAGACUUACAAAACCCAACUCUCCUGAUUCUGAAGGACUUCUGAUUAGAGUUUAUGUCGGUAAUAUUCCAUAAGGAUUUACAACCGGUAUUCUCACUGCGAAGAGCGCCAACUGACUUGGCUGGAGUCCUCAAUGGAGAAACUGGAAUCCAGGUAGUCUGCAACGACGGAGCCGAGUACCACUUCAAAGAGCUGCCGGGGGCAGAGGCCCCAGACUGACGAGCUGCCUUCAGCUGGGUGGGCCCAGUACGCUCUCCAGCUGUCUUGGGGACAGGCCAUUAGGGCUGCUCGGGAGAUGUGCAACUACUUGUCAUGUUCUGAGCUCACAGUCAUGCUGGGAGCCAGAAAGGGUUUAUAGCAUCUUUUAAGGCAGGGCUGGGAAGCAGUCCUUUAAAAAUGCAGCUUGGGGUCACUUACACGGGGCCUGCCAAAUGUGGACUGUGCUUUGGGAUUCCUGCAGUUCCCUGGGAACUAAGCUGACCCAGGGUGGGAGGCGGCGGGUAUGGGGGGAGUCAAAGAAUUUGGAGGUGAUGGGAGGAAAAGCUGAUUCACACCCACCCACCCAGAUGGUUUUUAAAUCCCAGGCAUCUUUUCCUUUACUCAUCUAUGUUGAUAGAGAAGUGAAUAGGUUUAUUAUGUCCCUUGUGCCAGGUGGAGUCUGAAUAGAACUGGGAUGUGUGGCAGGUACAGCCCUGCUUCCCACCCAGCUGGAAGCUGCCCCCAAACUGCUGUGACCUGCACUCCCAAUGCUCUGAUCUGCGCCUGAGCUUCUGUAACCUGCCCCCCCGGCUGCUCCCACCUGCCCCCCUGAUGCUCCCAUCUGAACCUUGCCUGCAACCCCACCCUUACCUGCACCCCUGCCCUCACCUGCAGCCCUGCUGCUCUGACCAGCUUCCAGCUCAUCUAAUCCUAACCAAAGUCCUCUCCUGUGUCUGGAAUCCAUGAUUUGGAGGGAGGAGCUGCAGCUUUUAGUGCAUUUGAAAGGGUCAUUCGAGAAACCCAAGCAAGUGUAAUUUGACUUAGAAGCCUACACAGUGCUUCCAAAAGCAAACUGGCUUGUGGAAGAAUGAAGUCAUUUGGAUUAAAGGAUUCACAGCCUGGGCCGACCCCAGGUAUUCCUAAGGAGGAGUCUAAAUCCCAGUUUCCACACGGCUUCCCUUGAAGCCAGGACCCAUUUGUGUUCACAACUCCAAACAGCCAUCGUAACCCUGAUGGAGCAGGCGCUGUGCCCAGACACCCUCAAACCCUCCCACGGUCACAGACCCUUCCCGGGGCCCACAGGCAGUGCUGCUGUCACUCCACUUUGCAAAUGAGAUGCUUGGGGCUUAGAAAGAUAGUACGAUCUGUCCGAGGUCACAUGGUGAGCCAGCUACUCUCAGGGUCGAGCUCAGAAACACGGCCCACUGCCUUUCAGAUGUCAUGGUGUUCCAGUCCACCAGGGCUGCUGUAGCAAAAUGCCACCAACUGGUGGCUUAUAAAGAGAAACAUAUUGUUCACAGCACUGGAGGCUGGAGGCUGAGACUGAGGCGCUACCUGGCGCAUUUUGGUCGCGACUGCUCCCUGGCCCGCAGGCAGCCCCAAUGGCUGUGUUCCCACGUGGUGGAGGGCAGGGGCUCUCUGGGCCCUGAUCCUGCCAGGGCAGAGCUCCUCCGAACAGCCCUGCCUCCUAAAACAGCCCCUUGGGGGUUAGGAUUUCAACACUUGAAUUUGGGGGACCAGCCAGGUCUGUGUCCUCACGCUGGCCCAUUCUGGCCAUGACCGUGGUGGGCUCUGCGAGUUCACCAGCACACGUGAAUAUAAGGAUGCCGAGACCCAGAGACUGGGACAUGCGUGUGACUCUCAGCGUGUGUGUCAGUGAAAGCGCCCCUCGCCUCCAGUCCUGCCUUCUCAUGAGGGGCGGGCACACAUAGGAGCCUUACCUAUACCGAAGCCCCACAGCCACCGUGCGGCGGGCAAGGACGUACAUCUGAGUGCCUCCAUCCCACAGACAGAAAACAGGUCCACGGUGGGGACUUCCUCGCAGCCUGGCCAGCCCCGUGCUCCCCAUGCACAGGGACAUCCCCAGGGUCAAUGUUUGGAUGUCUUCCUAUUUAAAAAUACACACAAUUUCCGUGGGCUCUUCGCACACAGCUUGUGGAGGGGCAGGGAGAGGGAGGGGAGAGAAAGGGGCAGUGGAGGAAAAGACGGGGAGAGAAGGGCCGCAGGAGCUACUCUGCCCCUGCCCCUGGGGGCACCCUUUCCAUUCACUUUCUCUGCCUGGGAAGAACAUUCCAGGAGCAAGGGGAAGGACCUGGUCCUGACACAUGCGCAUUGACAUUUGUAAGCACAUUCAAGCGAAAACUGACUAAUCCCGGAGCUGGUAGACUAAUUCCUCUGAGGCCGUAUCCUGUGCCUUCUGCUCAGAUCAAGCUCCCCCUGUGGCCUCUAUCAAAUGCCCCAGGGACAGGAGCCACUUCCCAGCUCUCACGUGGGGCUGCUCUUCCCACUGAGCCACGUCCGUCCUCAGUCCUAGCCCUUCAUCCAGAGAGCGUCUGUGCCCUCCGUCCCGCCUGGAGAGUUCCACCCUGCUCCCACAGAUGUUGCCCCAGACUGGCUCCCAACCAGCCCGGGAGGCCACAGUGCCAUGUUCUCUUAGUUGCCCACCGGAAGUGGGUCUGGUUCUAGGGGUGGCACUUGGAAGAGAACAUGGACAAGAUGAUUCAGCAGGCACGUCCCCCUCUGGACUGAACUCGUGGCUUUCAGGGAACCCAUACACCUUACCGAUCCCUCCUUUCCAGGUAGUGGACGCAUCAUAACCAGUUGGGAAGGACAGUCUGGUUUCUGUUGAGUAAGUAAUUGAUUAUGACAUGAAUUAAUUGAUCUGGACCUGAAUUAGAAGGUGAUGUUGUCAUAAAAACAUCUGAGUCAACUCUGGGGCCCAGCUGGGCCUGCAGGAAACACAAGAAUGCAGCCCUUGCUCAGAGCUAGGGACGUCGGAGCUGCAGAUUCGGGACUCUGCCCCCCUCCUACCACAGCGCACGCGCCUUCCAUCGUGGCUGCCCUCCUGGGGCACAGACUCCACCCUCAACACCAUCCUCGCCAUCCCAAAGGGCCUGGGACCCCUGCCUGCGGAGCCCGAUGGAGCCUCGGAAGCCUUGUCACCCCCUCUACCAAAGGCCAGUGCCGUCACUGGGGGCAAUCGCCUGCCUCGUAAAUCGUCGAGUUGCUCGUGCAGUAACCUCAGCCAACAUCAGGCAGCUGACAGCAUCUCCACAGGGCUGCUCAUCACCGAUCCUGCCCCUGCGGCCAAAGGACAAGAGGUGGAGACACCCAAAGCGUCACUUGAGGCAUGUGGGAGUAACUUUCUUUCCAGAACCACCCAUGCGUGCCAUUUGGCAAGCUGGAGAAGUCCCUGUCUUGAGGUUUACACUCCCGCAGGGCGUCUU